GAUGAACGCUGGCGGCGUGCUUAACACAUGCAAGUCGAACGAUGAAGCCCAGCUUGCCGGGUGGAUUAGUGGCGAACGGGUGAGUAACACGUGAGUAUCCUCCCCUUAGCUCUGGGAUAAGUCUGGGAAACUGGGCUUAUUACCCGAUAGGAGCGUCCACCGCAUUGGGGGUGCUGUGAAGCUUUCUCGGUUUUGGAUGGACUCGCGGCCUAUCCCCUUGUUUGGGGGGUAUGGUCGCACCACGGCAAAGCCGGAGCUCCGGCCUGAGAAGGUGGACGGGCACCAUGGGACUGAGGGACGGCCCAGACUCCUACGGGAGGCAACAGUGGGGAAUAUUGCACAAUGGGCGCGAGCCUGAUGCAACGACGCCGGGUGAGGGAUGACGGCCUUCGGGUUGUAAACCUCUUUCAGUAGGGAAGAAGCGGAAGUGACGGUACCUGCAGAAGAAGCACCGGCUAACUACGUG
This 466-nucleotide ribosomal RNA is filed under the name uncultured bacterium. RNAcentral's name for it is "partial 16S ribosomal RNA". It matches the Rfam family "Bacterial small subunit ribosomal RNA", at positions 28 to 507 of the family's 1533-position model. The record is from RNAcentral.